UACGUAGGGUCCGAGCGUUGUCCGGAAUUACUGGGCGUAAAGAGCUCGUAGGUGGUUUGUCGCGUUGUUCGUGAAAACUCACAACUCAAUUGUGGGCGUGCGGGCGAUACGGGCAGACUUGAGUACUGCAGGGGAGACUGGAAUUCCUGGUGUAGCGGUGGAAUGCGCAGAUAUCAGGAGGAACACCGGUGGCGAAGGCGGGUCGCUGGGCUCUACCUGACGCUGAGGCGCGAAAGCGUGGGGAGCGAACCGG
Molecule: ribosomal RNA, 253 nt
Filed under: uncultured bacterium
Lineage: Bacteria
Description: partial 16S ribosomal RNA
Rfam family: Bacterial small subunit ribosomal RNA
Source: RNAcentral